GGAGGUUGGAAAGAAUAUUUGUUUUCCAAUAUUGUGAUGAUGUACCGUGGCAAGUAGUGGAUAGUUAGAUUUGUGGCAAGACUUGUUUUUAAUUCUUCAACGAAAAUGGACCUUUUUAAUUGAAAAAAAGAAGGUUGGAUUCGAACGUGCUACCACCGCUUCGUUGUGAACUUGAUACGAAUAACUUCGCAUGUUCCUAUUUUUGAGCGCUGUUAUUAAUAUUUAUCUAUAAUCUUAUAUUGUAUAUUUAAAUCUUUGUUUAUACAGCAGGCCUAUGAUAUAUUAAUAUAAAGCAUAUAGGUGAAUGCUUUAAGUGUAUAUAUUUACAUUAUAUUACUUUUCAUAGUAAUAACGUGUUCAUUACCGGUACAGUACGGUAUAUCCUAUUAAAUAGAUCGUUACAUUUUAUUUUAUUACAAUAUUUAGUCAUCCUAUGUAAAAUAAUAUAAUAUUUCUUUGUUUAUGAUAUAUUGUGUUUUAAAUAAACCCUACUCUAUACUCAUUUCAGAGUCAUUUGUAUACGUCUGAUGUUCCUUAAUUCAAAAUGAUUAUAUGGUGAUCAUCUCCUACAUGAGCUAAUCACGGACGGUUCCCAUAGCUCUCUUCUCUAUUGCCAACACCAUUACAUUCAGCUAUUCAAUUCAUUAUCAGGAUCAAAUUGAUUUCAUUUUUUAUAAAUAGUGAUAUAUGACCUAAUUAAAGUUGAUGCACAAUUACUCAUUCCAGUAAUAUAAUUUUUGAAUACUGAGCAUAUACACAUCUGCUAAUAAUA
Anneissia japonica is the source of this 772-nucleotide long non-coding RNA. RefSeq lists it as uncharacterized. Lineage: Eukaryota; Metazoa; Echinodermata; Crinoidea; Comatulida; Comatulidae. The record is from RefSeq and is a predicted model, not a curated record. The transcript is spliced from 3 exons.